Molecule: small nucleolar RNA, 102 nt
Filed under: Hanseniaspora osmophila
Lineage: Eukaryota; Fungi; Ascomycota; Saccharomycetes; Saccharomycodales; Saccharomycodaceae
Source: RNAcentral
GGGAAAUGAGGAUCCACAGCACUGGGCACUGAUUUAAAACAACUACAUGAGUGACACUGCUUUUUAAGAAUAGGCCUCAGAAACCUGUUCGUGACUGAUCCC